GACGAACGCUGGCGGCGUGCUUAACACAUGCAAGUCGAACGGAAAGGCCCUGCUUUUGUGGGGUGCUCGAGUGGCGAACGGGUGAGUAACACGUGAGUAACCUGCCCUUGACUUUGGGAUAACUUCAGGAAACUGGGGCUAAUACCGGAUAGGAGCUCCUGCUGCAUGGUGGGGGUUGGAAAGUUUCGGCGGUUGGGGAUGGACUCGCGGCUUAUCAGCUUGUUGGUGGGGUAGUGGCUUACCAAGGCUUCGACGGGUAGCCGGCCUGAGCGGGUGACCGGCCACGUUGGGACUGAGAUACGGCCCAGCCUCCUACGGGAGGCAGCAGUGGGGAAUAUUGCACAAUGGGCGGAAGCCUGAUGCAGCAACGCCGCGUGCGGGAUGACGGCCUUCGGGUUGUAAACCGCUUUCGCCUGUGACGAAGCGUGAGUGACGGUAAUGUGUAAAGAAGCACCGGCUAACUACGUG
RNAcentral lists this ribosomal RNA (468 nucleotides) under uncultured bacterium. RNAcentral's name for it is "partial 16S ribosomal RNA". It matches the Rfam family "Bacterial small subunit ribosomal RNA", at positions 28 to 507 of the family's 1533-position model. The record is from RNAcentral.